GAUGAACGCUGGCGGCAUGCCUAAGACAUGCAAGUCGAACGAGAUGGCCCAGUGAAGGUUGAGUGCUUGCACAAGACUGAAUCUGGAUUCCCAUCUAGUGGCAGACGGGUGAGUAACGCGUGGGUGACCUACCUUUUCGUUGGGGAUAACAGUUGGAAACGAUUGCUAAUACCGAAUAAAAUGUAAGAGUCAAUUUUACAUUGAAAGGAGCCUUUAAAGCUUCGCGAUUAGAUGGGCCUGCGGCGUAUUAACUAGUUGGUGAGGUAAUGGCUUACCAAGGUGACGAUGCGUAGCCGAACUGAGAGGUUGAUCGGCCACAUUGGGACUGAGACACGGCCCAAACUCCUACGGGAGACAGCAGUUAGGAAUAUUCGUCAAUGGAGGAAACUCUGAACGAGCAAUGCCGCGUGAGUGAUGAAGGUCUUAUAGAUUGUAAAACUCUGUUGUAUGGAAAAAACGACUAGGUUAGGAAAUGAACUUAGUGUGAUGGUACCAUACCAGAAAGC
Molecule: ribosomal RNA, 506 nt
Filed under: uncultured bacterium
Lineage: Bacteria
Description: bacterial SSU rRNA
Rfam family: Bacterial small subunit ribosomal RNA
Source: RNAcentral